UCGAGAAUAUUCGACAAUGGGCGAAAGCCUGAUCGAGCGACGCCGCGUGCAUGAUGAAGCCCUUCGGGGUGUAAAGUGCUUUUUUCAGGGAGGAAUCCGCAAGGAUGACAGUACCUGACGAAUAAGGGGAUGCUAAUCACGUGCCAGCAGCCGCGGUAAUACGUGAUCCCCAAGCGUUAUCCGGAUUUAUUGGGCGUAAAGGGUUCGUAGGUGUCCUGACAGGUUUCCCGUUAAAUAUUUAAGGCUCAACCUUAAAGGUGCGGGGAAAACCGGCAGGAUAGAGGACGUUAGGGGCUGAUAGAACGGUCGGAGUAGGGGUGAAAUCCGUUGAUAUCGACCGGAAUACCAAAAGCGAAGGCAUUCAGCUGGGGCGAUCCUGACACUGAGGAACGAAAGCGUGGGGAGCAAAAAGG
RNAcentral lists this ribosomal RNA (413 nucleotides) under uncultured bacterium. Its description in RNAcentral is "bacterial SSU rRNA". It matches the Rfam family "Bacterial small subunit ribosomal RNA", at positions 355 to 776 of the family's 1533-position model. The record is from RNAcentral.